This 602-nucleotide ribosomal RNA is filed under the name uncultured Acidobacteriota bacterium. RNAcentral's name for it is "bacterial SSU rRNA". It matches the Rfam family "Bacterial small subunit ribosomal RNA", at positions 917 to 1519 of the family's 1533-position model. The record is from RNAcentral. Lineage: Bacteria; Pseudomonadati; Acidobacteriota.
GGGCCCGCACAAGCGGUGGAGCAUGUGGUUUAAUUCGACGCAACGCGAAGAACCUUACCUGGGCUCGAAAUGUACAGGAAUCCGGUAGAAAUACCGGCGUCCCGCAAGGGACCUGUAUAUAGGUGCUGCAUGGCUGUCGUCAGCUCGUGUCGUGAGAUGUUGGGUUAAGUCCCGCAACGAGCGCAACCCUUACCUCCAGUUGCUACCAUUUAGUUGAGCACUCUGGCGGAACCGCCUCGGAUAACGGGGAGGAAGGUGGGGAUGACGUCAAGUCCUCAUGGCCUUUAUGUCCAGGGCUACACACGUGCUACAAUGGCCGGUACAAACCGUCGCAAACCCGUGAGGGGGAGCUAAUCGGAAAAAGCCGUCCUCAGUUCGGAUCGCAGUCUGCAACUCGACUGCGUGAAGCUGGAAUCGCUAGUAAUCGCGGAUCAGAAUGCCGCGGUGAAUACGUUCCCGGGCCUUGUACACACCGCCCGUCACAUCACGAAAGUGGGUUGCACUAGAAGCCAGUGAGCUAACCGCAAGGAAGCAGCUGUCCAAGGUGUGAUUCAUGAUUGGGGUGAAGUCGUAACAAGGUAGCCGUAGGAGAACCUGCGGCU